CAUAGACUGCAACGCAGUCUAUGCUUUUUGCCCUCAAGGGCAAAUCUGUGCUGUGCCGGUUGGGUCUGCGUGGAGGUAAACCAGCAGCCAUGGCUGGCUCUGCUUUGAAGAGCCAUCGCCAAGCAAACAGCAGCAGUGACAGAACAUCGUCCCUUUCUCCUCGUGUGGGAGAAUGGGGAAGAUCAGAAAAAGAGAGCUGCAGGGGACAUUAAUUGUAUUGUUUCCAUUUCACUAAGGGUGCAGUCCCAUGUCCACAAUGAACGGACAGAUCCGAGAUGUUUUGCUGAAGAGAUAUUUAAAGGUGUUUAAAAUGAGACAGAAGCUAACAGAAAGCUCCAGACUGCUGAAGGAAAAGAAGAAAGGAAGACACAAGAAAGAAAAUGAGAUGGGAUUUUCCUUAUCUUCCACUCAUCAUAUGACCUCCUGAGCACAUGCGGUAAGCUGGAGCAGCAUGGAAUGAGUCAGAUGUCAGCAGCGGGGACAACUGGAAAUGUUUUACAGUCCAGUGGCAUGAAUACAGCAACCUUGGUGGAAAUUAUUUAUUUUUUACAGUGUAGCUUUGAUGACCCAAAGUUAAUCAAACUGAAGUAACAUUUAUCCCAACCUAACCUUAGCUGCCUAAAAAUUCAGUGUCCAAUCUACGCCACUAGUAAAGGGAAGCCUCACACCGUGGCUCAUCCUGCCUGUGCUGGCUGCCCAUGAUAGUGCAUGCAGAGCCCUCCCCCCCCCCCCACCCUCCUUCUCUUAAAACAAACAUCUUGGCUUAGCCUGCAGAAAGUUGGAAGCACUUAGUCCCCUGCAAACACAGCAACAGACAUAUGCUAAUUACUUUUCACGAAAUAUAUUUUUUUCA
This is a long non-coding RNA of Oxyura jamaicensis (ruddy duck), 853 nucleotides long. RefSeq lists it as uncharacterized. Lineage: Eukaryota; Metazoa; Chordata; Aves; Anseriformes; Anatidae. The record is from RefSeq and is a predicted model, not a curated record. The transcript is spliced from 3 exons.